RNAcentral lists this ribosomal RNA (376 nucleotides) under uncultured organism. RNAcentral's name for it is "partial 16S ribosomal RNA". It matches the Rfam family "Bacterial small subunit ribosomal RNA", at positions 527 to 897 of the family's 1533-position model. The record is from RNAcentral.
GUAGGUGGCAAGCGUUGUCCGGGAAUUAUUGGGGCGUAAAGCGCGCGCAGGCGGUUUUUUAAGUCUGAUGUGAAAGCCCACGGGCUCAACCGUGGAGGGUCAUUGGAAACUGGAGAACUUGAGUACAGAAGAGGAAAGCGGAAUUCCACGUGUAGCGGUGAAAUGCGUAGAGAUGUGGAGGAACACCAGUGGCGAAGGCGGCUUUCUGGUCUGUAACUGACGCUGAGGCGCGAAAGCGUGGGGAGCAAACAGGAUUAGAUGCCCUGGUAGUCCACGCCGUAAACGAUGAGUGCUAAGUGUUAGGGGGUUUCCGCCCCUUAGUGCUGCAGCUAACGCAUUAAGCACUCCGCCUGGGGAGUACGGCCGCAAAGGCUGA